Molecule: ribosomal RNA, 480 nt
Filed under: uncultured bacterium
Lineage: Bacteria
Description: bacterial SSU rRNA
Rfam family: Bacterial small subunit ribosomal RNA
Source: RNAcentral
CUACGUGCCAGCAGCCGCGGUAAUACGUAGGUGGCAAGCGUUGUCCGGAUUUAUUGGGCGUAAAGCGAGCGCAGGCGGUUCCUUAAGUCUGAUGUGAAAGCCCCCGGCUCAACCGGGGAGGGUCAUUGGAAACUGGGGAACUUGAGUGCAGAAGAGGAGAGUGGAAUUCCAUGUGUAGCGGUGAAAUGCGUAGAUAUAUGGAGGAACACCAGUGGCGAAGGCGACUCUCUGGUCUGUAACUGACGCUGAGGCUCGAAAGCGUGGGUAGCAAACAGGAUUAGAUACCCUGGUAGUCCACGCCAUAAACGAUGAGUGCUAAGUGUUGGAGGGUUUCCGCCCUUCAGUGCUGCAGUUAACGCAUUAAGCACUCCGCCUGGGGAGUACGACCGCAAGGUUGAAACUCAAAGGAAUUGACGGGGGCCCGCACAAGCGGUGGAGCAUGUGGUUUAAUUCGAAGCAACGCGAAGAACCUUACCAGGU